UACGUAGGGUGCGAGCGUUGUCCGGAAUUAUUGGGCGUAAAGAGCUCGUAGGCGGUUUGUUGCGUCGGCUGUGAAAUCCCGAGGCUCAACCUCGGGUCUGCAGUCGAUACGAGCAAACUAGAGUGUUGCAGGGGAGACUGGAAUUCCUGGUGUAGCGGUGAAAUGCGCAGAUAUCAGGAGGAACACCGGUGGCGAAGGCGGUUCUCUGGGCAUGUCCUGACGCUGAGGUGCGAAAGCGUGGGGAGCAAACAGG
RNAcentral lists this ribosomal RNA (253 nucleotides) under uncultured bacterium. RNAcentral describes it as "partial 16S ribosomal RNA". It matches the Rfam family "Bacterial small subunit ribosomal RNA", at positions 524 to 776 of the family's 1533-position model. The record is from RNAcentral.